Molecule: ribosomal RNA, 489 nt
Filed under: uncultured bacterium
Lineage: Bacteria
Description: partial 16S ribosomal RNA
Rfam family: Bacterial small subunit ribosomal RNA
Source: RNAcentral
GACGAACGCUGGCGGCGUGCUUAACACAUGCAAGUCGAACGGAAAGGCCCCCACCUUGGUGGGGGUGCUCGAGUGGCGAACGGGUGAGUAACACGUGGGUGAUCUGCCCUGUACUUCGGGAUAAGCUUGGGAAACUGGGUCUAAUACCGGAUAGGACCAUGGUUUAGUGUCUCAUGGUGGAAAAAUUAUUGUUUUGGUGCAGGAUGAGCUCGCGGCCUAUCAGCUUGUUGGUGGGGUAAUGGCCUACCAAGGCGUCGACGGGUAGCCGGCCUGAGAGGGGGGACGGCCACAUUGGGACUGAGAUACGGCCCAGACUCCUACGGGAGGCAGCAGUGGGGAAUAUUGCACAAUGGGCGCAAGCCUGAUGCAGCGACGCCGCGUGGGGGAUGACGGCCUUCGGGUUGUAAACUCCUUUCGUUAGGGACGAAGCCACACCUUUUUUGGGUGUGGUGACGGUACCUUUGUUAAGAAGCACCGGCUAACUACGUG